UUUUAGCCCCGAUUGAAGCGGCAUCCUUUUUCUGAAAUGGCUUGAAAAAAGCGCUGGUGAAAAAGAUACAGCGGAAAGCGGGAUUAAGC
Molecule: non-coding RNA, 89 nt
Organism: Chryseobacterium sp. Leaf201
Lineage: Bacteria; Pseudomonadati; Bacteroidota; Flavobacteriia; Flavobacteriales; Weeksellaceae
Source: Rfam